This 492-nucleotide ribosomal RNA is filed under the name uncultured bacterium. RNAcentral describes it as "partial 16S ribosomal RNA". It matches the Rfam family "Bacterial small subunit ribosomal RNA", at positions 29 to 507 of the family's 1533-position model. The record is from RNAcentral.
AGUGAACGCUGGCGGUAGGCCUAACACAUGCAAGUCGAACGGCAGCACAGUAAGAGCUUGCUCUUACGGGUGGCGAGUGGCGGACGGGUGAGGAAUACAUCGGAAUCUACUUUUUCGUGGGGGAUAACGUAGGGAAACUUACGCUAAUACCGCAUACGACCUACGAGUGAAAGCAGGGGAUCUUCGGACCUUGCGCGAUUGAAUGAGCCGAUGUCGGAUUAGCUAGUUGGCGGGGUAAAGGCCCACCAAGGCGACGACCCGUAGCUGGUCUGAGAGGAUGAUCAGCCACACUGGAACUGAGACACGGUCCAGACUCCUACGGGAGGCAGCAGUGGGGAAUAUUGGACAAUGGGCGCAAGCCUGAUCCAGCCAUACCGCGUGGGUGAAGAAGGCCUUCGGGUUGUAAAGCCCUUUUGUUGGGAAAGAAAAGCAGCAGGUUAAUACCCCGCUGUUCUGACGGUACCCAAAGAAUAAGCACCGGCUAACUUCGUG